RNAcentral lists this ribosomal RNA (118 nucleotides) under Triticum aestivum (bread wheat). Lineage: Eukaryota; Viridiplantae; Streptophyta; Magnoliopsida; Poales; Poaceae. The record is from RNAcentral.
GGAUGCGAUCAUACCAGCACUAAAGCACCGGAUCCCAUUAGAACUCCGAAGUUAAGCGUGCUUGGCGAGAGUAGUACUAGGAUGGGUGACCUCCUGGGAAGUCCUCGUGUUGCAUUCC